GGCCAGCUUGCUGGUCUGAUCAGUGGCGAACGGGUGAGUAACACGUGAGCAACCUGCCCUUCACUCUGGGAUAACCACCGGAAACGGUGGCUAAUACCGGAUAUGAGACGUACACGCAUGUGUCGCGUCUGGAAAGAUUUAUCGGUGAAGGAUGGGCUCGCGGCCUAUCAGCUUGUUGGUGGGGUAGUGGCCCACCAAGGCGACGACGGGUAGCCGGCCUGAGAGGGCGACCGGCCACACUGGGACUGAGAUACGGCCCAGACUCCUACGGGAGGCAGCAGUGGGGAAUAUUGCACAAUGGGCGCAAGCCUGAUGCAGCGACGCCGCGUGAGGGAUGACGGCCUUCGGGUUGUAAACCUCUUUCAGCAGGGAAGAAGCGAAAGUGACGGUACCUGCAGAAGAAGCGCCGGCUAACUACGUGCCAGCAGCCCGCGGUAAUACGUAGGGCGCAAGCGUUGUCCGGAAUUAUUGGGCGUAAAGAGCUCGUAGGCGGUUUGUCGCGUCUGCUGUGAAAACCUAAGGCUCAACCUUGGGCUUGCAGUGGGUACGGGCAGACUAGAGUGCGGUAGGGGUGACUGGAAUUCCUGGUGUAGCGGUGGAAUGCGCAGAUAUCAGGAGGAACACCGAUGGCGAAGGCAGGUCACUGGGCCGCAACUGACGCUGAGGAGCGAAAGCAUGGGGAGCGAACAGGAUUAGAUACCCUGGUAGUCCAUGCCGUAAACGUUGGGCACUAGGUGUGGGGCUCAUUCCACGAGUUCCGUGCCGCAGCAAACGCAUUAAGUGCCCCGCCUGGGGAGUACGGCCGCAAGGCUAAAACUCAAAGAAAUUGACGGGGGCCCGCACAAGCGGCGGAGCAUGCGGAUUAAUUCGAUGCAACGCGAAGAACCUUACCAAGGCUUGACAUACACCGGAAACUUCCAGAGAUGGUUGCCCCGCAAGGUCGGUGUACAGGUGGUGCAUGGUUGUCGUCAGCUCGUGUCGUGAGAUGUUGGGUUAAGUCCCGCAACGAGCGCAACCCUCGUCCCAUGUUGCCAGCGGGUUAUGCCGGGGACUCAUGGGAGACUGCCGGGGUCAACUCGGAGGAAGGUGGGGAUGACGUCAAAUCAUCAUGCCCCUUAUGUCUUGGGCUUCACGCAUGCUACAAUGGCCGGUACAAAGGGCUGCGAUACCGCGAGGUGGAGCGAAUCCCAAAAAGCCGGUCUCAGUUCGGAUUGGGGUCUGCAACUCGACCCCAUGAAGUCGGAGUCGCUAGUAAUCGCAGAUCAGCAACGCUGCGGUGAAUACGUUCCCGGGCCUUGUACACACCGCCCGUCAAGUCACGAAAGUCGGUAACACCCGAAGCCA
This 1344-nucleotide ribosomal RNA is filed under the name bacterium. RNAcentral's name for it is "bacterial SSU rRNA". It matches the Rfam family "Bacterial small subunit ribosomal RNA", at positions 73 to 1429 of the family's 1533-position model. The record is from RNAcentral.